RNAcentral lists this ribosomal RNA (417 nucleotides) under Streptomyces sp. Its description in RNAcentral is "bacterial SSU rRNA". It matches the Rfam family "Bacterial small subunit ribosomal RNA", at positions 334 to 762 of the family's 1533-position model. Lineage: Bacteria; Bacillati; Actinomycetota; Actinomycetes; Kitasatosporales; Streptomycetaceae. The record is from RNAcentral.
UACUCCUACGCGGAGGCAGCAGUGGGGAAUAUUGCACAAUGGGCGCAAGCCUGAUGCAGCGACGCCGCGUGAGGGAUGACGGCCUUCGGGUUGUAAACCUCUUUCAGCAGGGAAGAAGCGCAAGUGACGGUACCUGCAGAAGAAGCACCGGCUAACUACGUGCCAGCAGCCGCGGUAAUACGUAGGGUGCGAGCGUUGUCCGGAAUUAUUGGGCGUAAAGAGCUCGUAGGCGGCCUGUCGCGUCGGAUGUGAAAGCCCGGGGCUUAACCCCGGGUCUGCAUUCGAUACGGGCAGGCUGGAGUGUGGUAGGGGAGAUCGGAAUUCCUGGUGUAGCGGUGAAAUGCGCAGAUAUCAGGAGGAACACCGGUGGCGAAGGCGGAUCUCUGGGCCAUUACUGACGCUGAGAGCGAGCUGCUC